GAUGAACGCUGGCGGCGUGCUUAACACAUGCAAGUCGAACGAUGAAGCCCAGCUUGCUGGGUGGAUUAGUGGCGAACGGGUGAGUAACACGUGAGUAACCUGCCCUUAACUCUGGGAUAAGCCUGGGAAACUGGGUCUAAUACCGGAUAGGAGCGUCCACCGCAUGGUGGGUGUUGGAAAGAUUUAUCGGUUUUGGAUGGACUCGCGGCCUAUCAGCUUGUUGGUGAGGUAAUGGCUCACCAAGGCGACGACGGGUAGCCGGCCUGAGAGGGUGACCGGCCACACUGGGACUGAGACACGGCCCAGACUCCUACGCGAGGCAGCAGUGGGGAAUAUUGCGCAAUGGGCGCAAGCCUGAUGCAGCGACGCCGCGUGAGGGAUGACGGCCUUCGGGUUGUAAACCUCUUUCAGUAGGGAAGAAGCGAAAGUGACGGUACCUGCAGAAGAAGCACCGGCUAACUACGUG
RNAcentral lists this ribosomal RNA (466 nucleotides) under uncultured bacterium. RNAcentral's name for it is "partial 16S ribosomal RNA". It matches the Rfam family "Bacterial small subunit ribosomal RNA", at positions 28 to 507 of the family's 1533-position model. The record is from RNAcentral.